Long non-coding RNA from Hemicordylus capensis (graceful crag lizard), 668 nucleotides. RefSeq lists it as uncharacterized. The transcript is spliced from 5 exons. NCBI's taxonomy places the organism in Eukaryota, Metazoa, Chordata, Lepidosauria, Squamata, Cordylidae. The record is from RefSeq and is a predicted model, not a curated record.
ACGGAGGCCCGAAAGGGCCAAAAAGGCUACAUUGACCCAGCCGCAGUGGUGAUGAGGGAGGCCAGCGGGAGGAGAGAGAGCCCUCGCGGACCCCCUCCCCAUGGCUACAACAAGCCCCCCGAAGGGGCUACAGAUGUCUGUUGGGACAAACCUCUGUUGAUUGGCAGUGGGAACCAGAAAGACCCUCCCACUAGACACCACUUACCAUACAGCAUAGAGCAAGCCUCCUGGCCUCCAACAUAGUCCCAGUCCCCAGGAACAACUCCCAUUAUGAACUUCAGCUGCUUUCUUCUGUGCAAGACGAAGCCCAGUGCAUUGACACCGGGAAAGAGAAAACCCAGCUUCCAAAAAAUCGUGGAAACAGAUUUAGAGCGGGGGAAAUCACUCAAGUUCUUAUACAAUGUCGUUUGAGUCUGCAUGUGCUCCUAUUGCUUCUGAGCACCUCCACUACUACUUACUUCCAACCCCAGUAGGGUUGCCAGGUCUAGAUGAUGAAAAAAGGCUAUACCCAUCACCAAAGUGGAAACAGAGAAUGAAUUUCACCAAAAAGUAUCCAAAAGGUCUCCACUUUGCAUAAAAUUUGCAUUUGUUAAUUGGUAUUAUAUAUGCAUAUGUUGAUAAAAAUUGGUUAAUUUGAGAAUAAAUGCAGCUCACCACUGUGAAGCUGA